AUCGAACGCUGGCGGCAGGCUUAACACAUGCAAGUCGAGCGGUAACAGAGAGAAGCUUGCUUCUCUGCUGACGAGCGGCGGACGGGUGAGUAAUGCCUAGGAAUCUGCCUAGUAGUGGGGGAUAACUUGCCGAAAGGUAAGCUAAUACCGCAUACGUCCUACGGGAGAAAGGAGGGGACCUUCGGGCCUUUCGCUAUUAGGUGAGCCUAGGUCGGAUUAGUUAGUUGGUGAGGUAAUGGCCCACCAAGACCGCGAUCCGUAACUGGUCUGAGAGGAUGAUCAGUCACACUGGAACUGAGACACGGUCCAGACUCCUACGGGAGGCAGCAGUGGGGAAUAUUGGACAAUGGGGGGAACCCUGAUCCAGCCAUGCCGCGUGUGUGAAGAAGGUCUUAGGAUUGUAAAGCACUUUAAGUUGGGAGGAAGAGCAGUUAACUAAUAUUUGACUGUUUUGACGUUACCGACAGAAUAAGCACCGGCUAACUUCGUGCCAGCCGCCGCAGUAA
Molecule: ribosomal RNA, 506 nt
Filed under: uncultured bacterium
Lineage: Bacteria
Description: partial 16S ribosomal RNA
Rfam family: Bacterial small subunit ribosomal RNA
Source: RNAcentral